This 1481-nucleotide long non-coding RNA is filed under the name Vigna radiata. Its description in RNAcentral is "long non-coding RNA (VRAD_LNC016109)". The record is from RNAcentral. Lineage: Eukaryota; Viridiplantae; Streptophyta; Magnoliopsida; Fabales; Fabaceae.
UUUGGAGGAUACCAAAUAAAUUCAAGACUCUCAAAUUUAGACAUUUUAAAUUUUAGUUGUAUUGUAAUUUAAUUGUUAGAAUUUUUAGACAAACUCUUUGCAUCUUGGGCCAAUUUUGGAAAAAUGUUGUUGGGCCCAAUUUUACUAGACACUUGACACUUGGCAACCCUAGGGUUGGGUGGACCCCACCCUAAAUUUUGAGAGGCACUUGGUCCUAGAAAGUGAGACAGCCGUCACAUUUUUUUUCUCAUUCUUAGGGGCUGGAACGUAAGCUUUGCUGUAACGUUUCUCAUUUUUCUUUGAAACCAUGCAUUUACAUUUUGAUGAUGGAUGAAUGAAAACCCAUUUUCUCUUUUCUUAUCUUCUUGUGCAAGAGNUGUCUCGGUUUAAUUUUAAAUUCAAUAGAAGUUUGGGAGCACGGUCUUGUCGAGAAUUGAGGGGAUGUGUCAUUUUUAUUUUUAAGCAAAUGUCAAUUCAUUGUAGCUGGAGAAACACACGAACAUUGCAUUUCAUUUGGAGAGAAAAAUUAAGGGCCGGUUUCGUUUCAUGAGUGCAUGUGAUUUUUAACUUUUCUUUAUUUGAUUGAGUGACUAGUUGAUUAGGUGAGAGUUGGAGAUGGGACGUGCAAACUUGGCAGCUGAAUGNUUUUAGAUUUCUUUUCUUUUAGAUAGUAGUAGUUUGGUAGCUAGAUAGUAGUAGUGUAGUACGGUGCAGGGCCUUGUUUUGAUUGAAUUUUGGAAGAAUUGCUGCAACGUUGGGCACAUUCUUGGAGAUGCAAUUUGGCUGGUCCNAGAAGAUUUCUUUGGGAGCAUCAUCUUUCAUUUAAAAAACCAUUUUUUUUGGUCAUUCAACAUGAAGGGAAUAGGAGAGAAUUAACUUACGGCAUGCGAUUUGGUGACAUUGUUUUUCAUUGUUUUUUUUAUUUUUUUUAAAAGCUACAUUCAACAUUAAAAACGCUGCUUUUCUUUUUGUCUCGGUGCUUUCAUUGCUUGGCUGAUUCCAUUUAUCUUGUGCUGCCACGUCGUCCAACAAUUGAAGUAAAAACAGGGGUUUUAGUUUUAUUACUUAUAUGCUUGAACAAAUUUCCUAUUGCAGCACAUGUCUCGGUGCAUGAAUGAUUAUGUAAGGUUGAUUUAAUUUCUUUAAAAGUAAAUGGACGUGCUUAUUUUAUUGUUAGGUGGAUGAAUGAUUAAGUAAGUGCCACGACCUGAGCAUUGGAGAAAGGAAGAGCACGUUGUUUUUAUUUUUAUUUUUUUUUUUUCCUUAUGUCUUGCAUGUUUAAUUAAUUGCUAGCCAUUUUAUUUUUUUUAGUGACUUAUCUUUUAUUUUUAUUUUUAUUUUAAUUCUAGUGUUCACUUUAAAGAUUUUGAUUAUGCUUUGUGUGUUUAAUUUCCAUUUUAAUUUAGUCAUUUGCAUUUAUAAAACCUUUCACCAAACCCCCCCACUGUGUGUGUUAGGCCUAAUUCCUGAACCACAUUUGG